UACGUAGGGUGCAAGCGUUAAUCGGAAUUACUGGGCGUAAAGCGUGCGCAGGCGGUUCUGUAAGACAGAUGUGAAAUCCCCGGGCUCAACCUGGGAACUGCAUUUGUGACUGUAGAGCUGGAGUGCGGCAGAGGGGGAUGGAAUUCCGCGUGUAGCAGUGAAAUGCGUAGAUAUGCGGAGGAACACCGAUGGCGAAGGCAAUCCCCUGGGCCUGCACUGACGCUCAUGCACGAAAGCGUGGGGAGCAAACAGG
Molecule: ribosomal RNA, 253 nt
Filed under: uncultured bacterium
Lineage: Bacteria
Description: partial 16S ribosomal RNA
Rfam family: Bacterial small subunit ribosomal RNA
Source: RNAcentral